This 880-nucleotide ribosomal RNA is filed under the name Bacillus subtilis. RNAcentral's name for it is "partial 16S ribosomal RNA". It matches the Rfam family "Bacterial small subunit ribosomal RNA", at positions 56 to 918 of the family's 1533-position model. RNAcentral also lists the same sequence under 1 other name. Lineage: Bacteria; Bacillati; Bacillota; Bacilli; Caryophanales; Bacillaceae. The record is from RNAcentral.
UGCAAGUCGAGCGGACAGAAGGGAGCUUGCUCCCGGAUGUUAGCGGCGGACGGGUGAGUAACACGUGGGUAACCUGCCUGUAAGACUGGGAUAACUCCGGGAAACCGGAGCUAAUACCGGAUAGUUCCUUGAACCGCAUGGUUCAAGGAUGAAAGACGGUUUCGGCUGUCACUUACAGAUGGACCCGCGGCGCAUUAGCUAGUUGGUGAGGUAACGGCUCACCAAGGCGACGAUGCGUAGCCGACCUGAGAGGGUGAUCGGCCACACUGGGACUGAGACACGGCCCAGACUCCUACGGGAGGCAGCAGUAGGGAAUCUUCCGCAAUGGACGAAAGUCUGACGGAGCAACGCCGCGUGAGUGAUGAAGGUUUUCGGAUCGUAAAGCUCUGUUGUUAGGGAAGAACAAGUGCAAGAGUAACUGCUUGCACCUUGACGGUACCUAACCAGAAAGCCACGGCUAACUACGUGCCAGCAGCCGCGGUAAUACGUAGGUGGCAAGCGUUGUCCGGAAUUAUUGGGCGUAAAGGGCUCGCAGGCGGUUUCUUAAGUCUGAUGUGAAAGCCCCCGGCUCAACCGGGGAGGGUCAUUGGAAACUGGGAAACUUGAGUGCAGAAGAGGAGAGUGGAAUUCCACGUGUAGCGGUGAAAUGCGUAGAGAUGUGGAGGAACACCAGUGGCGAAGGCGACUCUCUGGUCUGUAACUGACGCUGAGGAGCGAAAGCGUGGGGAGCGAACAGGAUUAGAUACCCUGGUAGUCCACGCCGUAAACGAUGAGUGCUAAGUGUUAGGGGGUUUCCGCCCCUUAGUGCUGCAGCUAACGCAUUAAGCACUCCGCCUGGGGAGUACGGUCGCAAGACUGAAACUCAAAGGAAUUGACGGGG